Molecule: ribosomal RNA, 468 nt
Filed under: uncultured bacterium
Lineage: Bacteria
Description: partial 16S ribosomal RNA
Rfam family: Bacterial small subunit ribosomal RNA
Source: RNAcentral
GACGAACGCUGGCGGCGUGCUUAACACAUGCAAGUCGAACGGUUAGGCCCUGCUUUUGUGUGUUUCUCGAGUGGCGAACGUGUGUGUCACACGUGCGUCACCUGCCCUUCACUUUGGUAUAACUUCAGGAAACUGGGUCUUAUACCGUAUUUGAGCUCCUGCUCCUUGAUGGGUCUUGGAAACUUUCGGCGGUUGGGGAUGGACUCGCGGCUUGUCAGCUUGUUGGUGGGGUAUUGGCUUACCAAGGCUUUGACGGGUAGCCGGCCUGAGAGGGUGACCGGCCAGAUUGGGACUGAGAUACGGCCCAGACUCCUACGGGAGGCAGCAGUGGGGAAUAUUGCACAAUGGGCGGAAGCCUGAUGCAGCAACGCCGCGUGCGGGAUGAAGGCCUUCGGGUUGUAAACCGCUUUCACCAGGGACGAAGCGUGAGUGACGGUAAUGGGUAAAGAAGCACCGGCUAACUACGUG